This 253-nucleotide ribosomal RNA is filed under the name uncultured bacterium. Its description in RNAcentral is "partial 16S ribosomal RNA". It matches the Rfam family "Bacterial small subunit ribosomal RNA", at positions 524 to 776 of the family's 1533-position model. The record is from RNAcentral.
UACGAAGGGGGCCAGCGUUGCUCGGAAUCACUGGGCGUAAAGCGCACGUAGGCGGAUUGCUAAGUCAGGGGUGAAAUCCUGGAGCUCAACUCCAGAACUGCCUUUGAUACUGGCGACCUUGAGUCCGGGAGAGGUGAGUGGAACUGCGAGUGUAGAGGUGAAAUUCGUAGAUAUUCGCAAGAACACCAGUGGCGAAGGCGGCUCACUGGCCCGGUACUGACGCUGAGGUGCGAAAGCGUGGGGAGCAAACAGG